Molecule: ribosomal RNA, 397 nt
Filed under: uncultured bacterium
Lineage: Bacteria
Description: partial 16S ribosomal RNA
Rfam family: Bacterial small subunit ribosomal RNA
Source: RNAcentral
AUACGUAGGGGGCGAGCGUUGUCCGGAAUGAUUGGGCGUAAAGGGCGCGUAGGCGGCUUUGCAAGUCAGUAGUGGAAGUCCAUUUUUCAAGGAUGGAAGUGCUACAGAAACUGCGGAGCUUGAGUGCAGGAGAGGUUAUCGGAAUUCCCGGUGUAGCGGUGAAAUGCGUAGAGAUCGGGAGGAACACCAGUGGCGAAGGCGGGUAACUGGACUGCAACUGACGCUGAGGCGCGAAAGUGUGGGGAGCAAACAGGAUUAGAUACCCUGGUAGUCCACACUGUAAACGAUGAAUGCUAGGUGUAGGAGGUAGCGACCCCUUCUGUGCCGCAGUAAACACAGUAAGCAUUCCGCCUGGGGAGUACGGUCGCAAGAUUAAAACUCAAAGGAAUUGACGGGG